GACAGAGGGUGCAAACGUUGUUCGGAAUUACUGGGCGUAAAGGGCGCGUAGGCGGCCUGGCAAGUGGAAGGUGAAAUCCCUCGGCUUAACCGAGGAACUGCCUCCCAAACUGCUUGGCUUGAGACCGGGAGAGGUGAGUGGAAUUCCCAGUGUAGCGGUGAAAUGCGUAGAUAUUGGGAGGAACACCAGUGGCGAAGGCGGCUCACUGGCCCGGUACUGACGCUGAUGCGCGAAAGCCAGGGGAGCAAACGGG
This 253-nucleotide ribosomal RNA is filed under the name uncultured bacterium. RNAcentral describes it as "partial 16S ribosomal RNA". It matches the Rfam family "Bacterial small subunit ribosomal RNA", at positions 524 to 776 of the family's 1533-position model. The record is from RNAcentral.